AUUGAACGCUGGCGGCAGGCCUAACACAUGCAAGUCGAACGGUAGUACAGAGAGCUUGCUCUUGGGUGACGAGUGGCGGACGGGUGAGUAAUGUCUGGGAAACUGCCCGAUGGAGGGGGAUAACUACUGGAAACGGUAGCUAAUACCGCAUAACGUCGCAAGACCAAAGUGGGGGGACCUUCGGGCCUCACACCAUCGGAUGUGCCCAGAUGGGAUUAGCUAGUUGGUGAGG
RNAcentral lists this ribosomal RNA (232 nucleotides) under uncultured bacterium. RNAcentral's name for it is "partial 16S ribosomal RNA". It matches the Rfam family "Bacterial small subunit ribosomal RNA", at positions 30 to 257 of the family's 1533-position model. The record is from RNAcentral.